Non-coding RNA from Mycena rosella, 81 nucleotides. The record is from the annotation of a GenBank genome assembly. Lineage: Eukaryota; Fungi; Basidiomycota; Agaricomycetes; Agaricales; Mycenaceae.
GCAUCAGUGGUGUAGCGGUAACAUUGGGUCUUCCCAUCGGUGAAUAUGGCCUAGCUUCGGGUUCGACUCCCGGCUGAUGCA